Long non-coding RNA from Amblyraja radiata (thorny skate), 511 nucleotides. RefSeq lists it as uncharacterized. NCBI's taxonomy places the organism in Eukaryota, Metazoa, Chordata, Chondrichthyes, Rajiformes, Rajidae. The transcript is spliced from 2 exons. The record is from RefSeq and is a predicted model, not a curated record.
UCCCUGAAUCUGUAGGUGUGCGUUUUCACACUUCUGUGCCUUUUGCCCGAUGGGAGAGGGGAGAAGGAGAGGCCAGGGCGCGACACGUCCUUGAUUAUGCUGCUGGCCUUGCCGAGGCAACGAGCCUAAAGGAACAGCUGGAAUUGUGCGCAGAAUGCAACAGUCUGAAGAAGGUCUGAAGAAGGGUCCUAGUUCACGAGUCGUAGGAGUAGAAUUAGGCUGUUCGGCCCAUCGAGUCUACCCCGUCAUUCAAUCACGGCUGAUCAAUCAGGUCCUGAGAUGUCGCCUAUCAAUGCUGCCUGAACCGCUGAGCUACUCCAGCACUUUGUAUUCGACCGCUGUUUGUUGCAGCUCUGGGCUGUGGAAUAGUUCUCGAGGACAUUCUCUGAGGAUGGAGCAAUAUGUGAUUGCAAGGGUAUCCGGAAAAGGGUUAUUUAGCCAACUAAUUAACCCAUGCUGUAUUUUGUAUCUUUCGAUUUGCGUUCAACAAUAAACUUGAUGUUCGGCUGCU